CACCGGCAGCUCUAGUGGUAACAAUUUUUAUUGGGCCUAAAGCGUCCGUAGCCGGUUUAAUAAGUCUCUGGUGAAAUCCUGUAGCUUAACUGUGGGAAUUGCUGGAGAUACUAUUAGACUUGAGACCGGGAGAGGUUAGAGGUACUCCCAGGGUAGAGGUGAAAUUCUGUAAUCCUGGGAGGACCGCCUGUUGCGAAGGCGUCUAACUGGAACGGUUCUGACGGUGAGGGACGAAAGUUAGGGGCGCGAACCGGAUUAGAUACCCCGGUAGUCCCUGAGCGGGCUGGCAAGG
Molecule: ribosomal RNA, 292 nt
Filed under: uncultured prokaryote
Description: partial 16S ribosomal RNA
Rfam family: Archaeal small subunit ribosomal RNA
Source: RNAcentral